Molecule: non-coding RNA, 66 nt
Organism: Podarcis lilfordi (Lilford's wall lizard)
Lineage: Eukaryota; Metazoa; Chordata; Lepidosauria; Squamata; Lacertidae
Source: the annotation of a GenBank genome assembly
GCAGCUCAGUGAAAGAGCAUUUGCUUUACAUGCAGAACGUCCCACAUUCAAUCCUGGGCAUCUCCA